Molecule: unclassified non-coding RNA, 364 nt
Filed under: uncultured Cenococcum
Lineage: Eukaryota; Fungi; Ascomycota; Dothideomycetes; Gloniales; Gloniaceae
Description: sequence contains ITS2
Rfam family: 5.8S ribosomal RNA (bases 1-154)
Source: RNAcentral
AACUUUUUACAACGCGUCACGUGGUUCUGGCGUCGAUGAAGAACGCAGCGAAAUGGGAUAAGUAGUGUGAAUUGCAGAAUUCAGUGAAUCAUCGAAUCUUUGAACGCACAUUGCGCCCCUUGGCAUCCCGAGGGGCAUGCCUGUUCGAGCGUCAUUUCACCACUCAAGCCCGGCUUGGUGUUGGGCGACGUCCCCUUUGGGGACGCGCCUUGAAACGCUCGGCGGCGUGGCACCGGCUUUAAGCGUAGCAGAAUCUUUCGCUUCGAAAGUCGGAGCCCCGUCUGCCGGAAGACCUACUCGCAAGGUUGACCUCGGAUCAGGCAGGGAUACCCGCUGAACUUAAGCAUAUCAAUAAGCGGAGGCU